Molecule: long non-coding RNA, 1488 nt
Organism: Carassius carassius (crucian carp)
Lineage: Eukaryota; Metazoa; Chordata; Actinopteri; Cypriniformes; Cyprinidae
Exons: 2
Source: RefSeq, a predicted model, not a curated record
CAGUGGGGCUCGAAAGUUUGGGCACCCCUUGCAGAAUCUGUGAAAAUGUGAGUAAUUUUCAAAAAAUAAGAGAGAUCAUACUAAAUGCAUGUUGUUUUUUAUUUAGUACUGUCCUGAGUAAGAUAUUGUACAUAAAAGAUGUUAACAUUUAGUCCACAAGACAUAAAAAAUGCUGAAAUUAUUAAAAUAACCCCACUCAAAAGUUUGGGAACCCUUGGUUCUCAAUACUGUGUCCUGUUACCUGAUGAUCCACGACUGUCUUUCUGUUUUCUGAUGGUUGUGCAUGAGUCCCUUGUUUGUUCUGAACAGUUAAACUGAGCAGCGUUCUUCAGAAAAAUCUUUAAGGGGGGGUGAAAUGCUCAUUUUCACUCAAUCUCCUGUUAAUCUUGAGUACCUAUAGAGUAGUACUGCAUCCUUCAUAUCUCCAAAAAGUCUUUAGUUUAAUUAUAUUUAUAAGAGAAAAAUAGUCUGUGCCGAUUUUUUUCGGAAAAACACGAGCGCCUGGAGGCGUGACGUGUGGGCGGAGCUAAAGAAUCACGAGCGCGAGUAGGCUUUUGCGUUGAGAGCGUUUGGAAGUUGUGACAUUACCGUGAGGAAAAAAAACCCAUCAUCCAAAACAAACCAUGGCUAACAGUCAGAUUCAGCCGUUUAUUUAUGAUCCAGAAUCAGAUCACGAGGCUGAAACUGAACGAGAGCAGCAGCAGCAAUGACUACAGCAGGACGUCUCUAUGUGGUAUGUAUUGAAACUGUAUAUAUUUGCUUAGCGGUUUUGGAAAAUGACUAAGUUCCACUUUGUCGUCUUUUUUUUUUCUUUAAAGGUGUACAAGGUUUACUUGAUGUGCUUACGCGCCGAUAGCUAAGUUAACAACACAGAGAUAUUUGAAGCAGUUUUACUCACCGCCUGCGGUUCCAACACACGAUCGUGACCCUUUUUUGUUGGGAUUGCAUCAUCCUUAAGAAAUAAACGAUAUGCAAAUCCAGCGUCAAACUGGGCCUUGUUUGUAAAACAAGCAUCUUCGAAAUGCAGGGAACAAACAAAAACACUUGCUCAACUCCGUCGAUGCUCUGUAAAAAUAAACUCCGUCCACUGGUCCCUUAAUGUUUUUUUUUUGGUAAUCUGUGCAGGGUUGUCUUGCCCUCGCAACCAAAAACACACUUCUUUUGUGACAUUUCGUGACGCUCUCGCUCUGAUCAGUGAAUGUAUCUGCUCCGCACUGCUCUACGGGAGCGCGCGCUCUUCCGGCUGAAGUGCUCUUAGGACCCAUAUAAGGAAAUUCCGCUCCAUCUAACGUCACACAGACCCAUACUCGAAAAAAACUUUCCGAAACUUGUGACAAACCGGAAGCAGUAUUUUUGGAACAAAAAUACUCCUUCAAACGUACAACUUAAUUUUUGAAACUUUGUCCAUGUUUAGCAUGGGAAUCCAACUCUUUAACAGUGUAAAAAACUCAGUAUGCAUGAAAUAGCAUUUCACCCCCCCUUUAAUAA